UAUGGUGUGUAUUUAGGGCUAAUGCGUGAUGCAAAGUCUAAACAACAGCUGUAACUUUAAAUUAAAAAAAAAACCCGAAUGAUACAUUUCUAUUCGGACACGCUAUGUGAAUAUUUUUGCAUUUACUGUGUGUUUGGACUUUUUACAUCUAAAUAAUCAUGUUUCCGUACGUGUCGCGAGCGGCGGUGUCUUCUCCGCACGCCAGCCGGCCAGAGUGACUCCCUGCCCGGCCAGCCUGCCGUCACUCCUCCGCUGACCUCGGCUCGCGGUCCCGCGAGAAAAACAACAAAUAACGGUAAAUGGACCUUCGAGGAGCUCAGUGGACAAGUGGUGCUGGCAGAGAUGAAUGUUUUGGGUGUGGCUUGAGGCGGCAAGCAAAAACAGCAGGUGUUCGUAAUGCUGAGUGUACACCUGCUGGAUGCAUCACAAGGGUUCAUCAUCAGUACACAUGAUUAAUAUCAAGACGUUUAGCUGCAAUCAUGUUGGAGUUGCUCCGCCUCAGAGGCUGAUUGGUACCGAGUGGAAGAAGCAUUGGAGGAGGAUGAGGAGGAGGAGGAGGAGGAAGAGGCGCCGCAAAAAAAAAAGGUCAGAUGAGCGAGGCCGUUGUAGCCAAGCUUGCUUUGAAGCUUGGCCAAGGAGGCUACAGGAGGUAAUCAGAGGAAAAUAUGUCCCCUUCCUCCUCUUCGUCUUUUAGACCUCCAUUAGACCAACCUGCAUCUGUCUGGGAAAAUUGAUUUUCUCCCUCCUUUUAUUCCCAUUUGUCGCUGCACUCUAAAGAGAGAGAGAGUUGGAGGGAAAAAGAAGUAGUUAGGUCACGACAGGUUGUUCACACUUGUACUUCCACACCUCGGCUGGGAUCUCAUCUCUGACAUUAGUGAACACACAGCAAAGCCUGCAGGAUAGCUUUUUUUUUUGGUGUGAUCCCCAUCUGCCUAAUCCUUUCCUUCCUCAUUCUGCAUGUCACACUUCCUCCCCCUCGCAGACCCGCACUGCGAGAGCCAAGUCUUGGAUCAAUGCUCCAUUGAUUUUGCUAUCAAUGAACAUUAGUAUGGAUCAGACUGCAGCUUUACGCCCAUGCACACAUAUACAUAUAAAAAAAAAGCCCAGUAAUAGAAAUAAAGGAGCGGCACAGCAGCCAAUCAAUGAACAGCAAGACAGAACGGCCUGCAAAUGAAAUCAGACGUGGUGUUUGUUCCUGCACUCAUCGGUCAAGCGCUCGCGCGUCGAUUCUCUGCAGAAUAAUCCAGCAUGGUGGUCGGGCAGCCUUGAUAAUGAUGGCCGGGCAGCCUUGAUAAUGGCCGCUAAUCGUGACAGUGAAUGGACGCCGCCUCUCCUUCUCUUCUCUCACCCUAUAAUAGGCUUCCAGUCAGGUGAAGAUUGACACUACCCCCCCACGUCUCGCCGGGCUCCUUUUGUGUGCGACAUUGUGUUCAUUCCACAUGGCGGCCAUCGUGCCUCCACUAGAGCGACACGGUGUUAGUCUUUAUUUAACUCACAAGUGAACAUCACAGGAGAUGUAGGAAAAAAUCUCCUAUAACA
This is a long non-coding RNA of Nerophis ophidion (straightnose pipefish), 1539 nucleotides long. RefSeq lists it as uncharacterized. NCBI's taxonomy places the organism in Eukaryota, Metazoa, Chordata, Actinopteri, Syngnathiformes, Syngnathidae. The record is from RefSeq and is a predicted model, not a curated record. The transcript has 5 exons.